UCUCUCUCUCUUCCUCCCGAUUUUCUCUCUCUCCCGCGUCGAUCUUCCCUCCUCCUCCGACUGCAAAUCGCGCAGCCACCGCCACAGGCCACGGCCAGCCCCGAGACCGGACCCAAAACAACCGGCCAGACCUCGCCGACGUUCCCCAGUCCACCUCCAGCCGCCAGCCGCAGCCUCGUCGCCGGAAAACAUGAAUUUCAGGCCGAUUUUCGUCUGAAAUUCCAGUCGCUCGUUCUCUCUCCUCCGAUCACUAUUUCAGACGGGUGAGGUGUUUCGACUACACGUACGCAGCAAGCAGGACCUUCACGUGGUCAGGCAGCGAGGGAAUACUUCCAGUAGUCGCUCCAGGAAGCGUGCGAGUGGUGUACGAAGCUCAAUAUGUGCAUCUUUCUAGUUAGGAACUGUGUAAUUUCUUCUACUCAACUGUUCUUGUAAUCUAAAUUCAGUAGAUGCUCUGUAUUGCCAUGGUAGAUUUUACUUGUGAGGCCGGAGGCCAUUCUAGUAUGACUUGUAGAUGUAUGAAAGCAUGCUGCUGGUUGGGAUUAUUAUUUUGUGUGUAUGUUGCAGGUUGAGUAAAUUUUGUUGGGAUUGCUUAAAUUACAGGGGAGACUCUGCCAAAUUUUUGGUAGAAAGUCUCGAUUUCUUAGUAGGUGGGCCCGACAUCGUGAUGAUGUCGGAUCAAAGACGGGAUUCGCCCCGAUUUUGGGGAAAUCUCGGGACUGGUCCUGUCAUUUGUCUCCUAGGUCUACUCUAAUCUCAACACCAUUUUUACUUUUAACAAUUAAGAUAUUAACGUGUAUAAUGAUACAUCAUUUGGCGAACAAAUUUGGUAAGGAAAUUAGGCGUCUCUAGUGUAACCUGUUAGCUAUUGUUAGCUAAGGGGAGUGUUAGCUAGCAGGCUACUGUUUGGCAUUGAUGAGGUUGACUGCUGCAUUAAUGAGGUUGUUGGCUUCAUUGAUGGGGUUGGCUGCAUUAAUGAGGAUGGCUUGACUUUGGGAAGCUGCUGCACUUUCCAGGAUUAGGGGCUGCCGCAAUCCAUCUACUUUGUAAUUAAUAUUGAGCUUGAAUAGCAAGCUAUAUACUUGUAUAUAUAUUCUGCUGUAGUUUACACACAAAAAAUCAAUGAAAAAGAGUAGUUAAAGA
Long non-coding RNA from Prunus persica (peach), 1143 nucleotides. RefSeq lists it as uncharacterized. The transcript is spliced from 3 exons. Lineage: Eukaryota; Viridiplantae; Streptophyta; Magnoliopsida; Rosales; Rosaceae. The record is from RefSeq and is a predicted model, not a curated record.